This 922-nucleotide ribosomal RNA is filed under the name Clostridium carboxidivorans. RNAcentral's name for it is "bacterial SSU rRNA". It matches the Rfam family "Bacterial small subunit ribosomal RNA", at positions 8 to 928 of the family's 1533-position model. Lineage: Bacteria; Bacillati; Bacillota; Clostridia; Eubacteriales; Clostridiaceae. The record is from RNAcentral.
GAGACUUUGAUCCUGGCUCAGGACGAACGCUGGCGGCGUGCUUAACACAUGCAAGUCGAGCGAUGAAAUCCCUUCGGGGAUGGAUUAGCGGCGGACGGGUGAGUAACACGUGGGCAACCUGCCUCAAAGUGGGGGAUAGCCUUCCGAAAGGGAGAUUAAUACCGCAUAACAUUAGUUUUUCACAUGAAUUACUAAUUAAAGGAGUAAUCCGCUUUGAGAUGGGCCCGCGGCGCAUUAGCUAGUUGGUGAGGUAACGGCUCACCAAGGCCACGAUGCGUAGCCGACCUGAGAGGGUGAUCGGCCACAUUGGAACUGAGACACGGUCCAGACUCCUACGGGAGGCAGCAGUGGGGAAUAUUGCACAAUGGGCGAAAGCCUGAUGCAGCAACGCCGCGUGAGUGAUGAAGGCCUUCGGGUUGUAAAGCUCUGUCUUUGGGGACGAUAAUGACGGUACCCAAGGAGGAAGCCACGGCUAACUACGUGCCAGCAGCCGCGGUAAUACGUAGGUGGCGAGCGUUGUCCGGAUUUACUGGGCGUAAAGGAUGCGUAGGCGGAUGUUUAAGUCAGAUGUGAAAAUCCCGAGCUUAACUUGGGAACUGCAUUUGAAACUGGAUAUCUAGAGUGCGGGAGAGGAGAAUGGAAUUCCUAGUGUAGCGGUGAAAUGCGUAGAGAUUAGGAAGAACACCAGUGGCGAAGGCGAUUCUCUGGACCGUAACUGACGCUGAGGCAUGAAAGCGUGGGUAGCAAACAGGAUUAGAUACCCUGGGUAGUCCACGCCCGUAAACGAUGAAUACUAGGGUGUAAGGAGGUAUCGGACUCCCUUCUUGUGCCGCAGCCUACCGCCAUAAAGUAUUCCGCCCUGGGGAAGUACGAAUCGCAAAGAUUAAAAACUCAAAAGGGAAUUUGACGGGGGGCCCCGCAC